AUAAAGAUUCUUUUAAUAAAGGUUUAGAAUUAGCGCUACAAAUUAGAGGUUUAAAUCAUUAUCACAAAAAACAUUUUUCUAGUAACCCCGUAACGACUGACAUGGAAGGUACCAGAUAAUCUGGGAUACUAAACUUCCAUUACAUGUUGGCUCCCCCGAUCAAAUCGGGGGAUGAAGAUAUAGUCUGAUACUCCGAGGGAUCGGAGA
RNAcentral lists this non-coding RNA (207 nucleotides) under Candidatus Daviesbacteria bacterium GW2011_GWB1_39_5. RNAcentral also lists the same sequence under 2 other names. The record is from RNAcentral. Lineage: Bacteria; Candidatus Daviesiibacteriota.